Non-coding RNA from Maylandia zebra (zebra mbuna), 619 nucleotides. NCBI's taxonomy places the organism in Eukaryota, Metazoa, Chordata, Actinopteri, Cichliformes, Cichlidae. The record is from RefSeq and is a predicted model, not a curated record.
GCCAGCUUGAUCAGUCUUGCUGGUCACAAUGUUUGCAUAACACUUCAAAACAAACAAGAAACUGCUUUGGAUCUGGCUCACUGGUAUGUCCUUCAACGGACCCGUGCACCUUUUGAAAGGUUCAGAGAUGGCUUGAGGUCUCUAGGUGUCCUAGAUGCUCUACAGACAUACCCUCUUCAGAUGAAGUGCCUUUUCGUGAAAGCUGGAAUGGCUCUCAGAGCAACUGAUAUGGAGAAUCUAUUCCAGAUCAUUCACUCCGAACGAGGGAGUAAUGCAUUUCAAGAUGAGUGCCGGACCCUGGCUUUCUGGCAAGACUAUCUUCAGGAGGCAGAAUUUGAAAAUGAUGUCUCUUUGGAAGAUAUUCUUGUUUUCUGCACUGGAUGUGACAGCAUACCAGCCCUGGGUUUUUCUCCAAAGCCAAGCCUUGAGUUCGUCACUAACUGCAGAUUUCCAGUGGCCAAUACUUGUGAAAAUAUCCUUCGUAUACCAGUUCAUGCAGUGUACACUACUUUCAAAUCAGACAUGGAUUUUGCAAUACGGAAUUCACCAGGAUUUGGAAGAGCAUGAUGUGUUUUCUUAAGGAUUGGUGACAUGAUGAGGAUUUGGGUUUUUUUCUAUU